CGUGUAGGCGGCAGCGUGUGUCGGGCGUGAAAUCCCACGGCUCAACCGUGGAAGUGCACUCGAAACUGCGCAGCUAGAGUCCUGGAGAGGAAGGUGGAAUGCUUGGUGUAGAGGUGAAAUUCGUAGAUAUCAAGCGGAACACCGGUGGCGAAGGCGGCCUUCUGGACAGUGACUGACGCUGAGACGCGAAGCGUGGGAGCAAACA
RNAcentral lists this ribosomal RNA (205 nucleotides) under uncultured bacterium. Its description in RNAcentral is "partial 16S ribosomal RNA". It matches the Rfam family "Bacterial small subunit ribosomal RNA", at positions 568 to 774 of the family's 1533-position model. The record is from RNAcentral.